AACGAACGCUGGCGGCGUGGAUAAGACAUGCAAGUCGAACGGGAUUUUGUUCUGUAGCAAUACAGGAAAAAGUCUAGUGGCGAACGGGUGCGUAACACGUGAGCAACCUGCCGUGAAGUGGGGGAUAGCUCGCCGAAAGGCGAAUUAAUACCGCAUGUGGCCAAGGAAGACAUCUUCCUGACGCCAAAGCCGGGGCAACCUGGCGCUUCUCGAGGGGCCCGCGGCCUAUCAGCUUGUUGGGGAGGUAACGGCUCACCAAGGCUAUGACGGGUAGCUGGUCUGAGAGGACGACCAGCCACACUGGAACUGAGGCACGGUCCAGACACCUACGGGUGGCAGCAGUCGAGAAUUUUUCACAAUGGGGGAAACCCUGAUGGAGCGACGCCGCGUGGAGGAUGAAGGUUUUCGGAUUGUAAACUCCUGUCAUUAGAGAACAAGGCACACGGUUUAACUGGCCGUGUGUUGAUAGUAUCUGAAGAGGAAGAGACGGCUAACUCUGUGCCAGCAGCCGCGGUAA
RNAcentral lists this ribosomal RNA (517 nucleotides) under uncultured bacterium. RNAcentral describes it as "partial 16S ribosomal RNA". It matches the Rfam family "Bacterial small subunit ribosomal RNA", at positions 29 to 523 of the family's 1533-position model. The record is from RNAcentral.